This is a long non-coding RNA of Hippocampus zosterae (dwarf seahorse), 2048 nucleotides long. RefSeq lists it as uncharacterized. The transcript is spliced from 2 exons. The record is from RefSeq and is a predicted model, not a curated record. Lineage: Eukaryota; Metazoa; Chordata; Actinopteri; Syngnathiformes; Syngnathidae.
GCGUUUAAUGUCUUUAGAUCUUAACAUAUUUGUCAACAAACCAUAUUUGGGAACUUCCAGGUGUCAAGCUGGGAUUUGUCUGAGGCUGGAUUUUUACUGCAUGGUUCAAGUAAAGUUUUAUUUUCCAGUUUCAUGGCAGUGUAUAGAGAAAACCCUGCAAAACCGGCCUCUUUCAAAUUGUGCCAUGUCGACUUUAUAUGCCCGAUAUCGUUAGCAUUGAGGCGGCGUUGGUAUGUGACAGAUUGCUUGCUAGUUGGACACAGUAAGCCACCGAACCCAAAACAAAUCACUGUUUCCAUGAUUGCGGGCUCACCAUUUCAUUUGAAAUACAAAUAUAUAUUUUGUACACUUACUAACUCUUGUUUAUUUUGGGUGAAAUUUAACUAUUGAGCACGAGAGGGCAGCACACAAUUUACUUUUACUUUGAGUGGAAAUUUGAAAGACGAAUGAAAAACAGAGCGAUCAGCACGGACUAUUUUUUUAAAAUGAAAAUUAUUCAAAGUCAUCCUCUGUAAUCCUGCUUUUUAAGCCGACGUAAUCGAUCAUUUUAGGGCAUUACAGAUGUAUAUUGUGAGUUGGUUAGCUUGGAUAGGAUUGGUUCAUUUUUUGUACAAUAUAUUUGCGUUAUCCAUUGCUCAUAUGCUGUACCUUGCUCACAAAAAGUUGGGGAUAUUUGGCUUUCGGGUGAAAUUUAUGGAAAAUGUAAAAGGUUCACGCUACAGUGAUGUCACAUCAUGAAAGUAGUUUAAGUAUGCACUGGUGAAUUCCUCAUCAACAAUUCAUUGAAACAGAAGUUAAUGAUGGGUACACCGCAACAAAAAAUAUCAACGUCACAAUAACUCGUCAUGUGCCCUUGAGCAUCAAUUACAGCUUGACAAUGACGCAUCAUGCUGCUUAGAAGUCGACUUAUUGUCUGCUGAGGCAUGGCAUCCCAUUGUUCUUGAAGGGCAGCCCUCAGGUCAUUGAGAUUCUGAUGUGCAGAGGUUCGAGCAUACGGCGACUCAGCUGAUCCGACAGGUUUUCAAUGGAAUUCAGGUCUGGUGAAUGUGCAGGCCACCUGUGUCCAACAGCCUUUCCCUGAUAAUGAGACCUUGAUGAGCUGGAGCCAUUGUUGUCCAUGAAGGUGAAAUUAGGUCCAUGUUGUUCAUGUCGGGGCACAAUCACUGAAUGAACUCUGUAUCCCUAUUGCAACUUGCUUUUGACACUAUAAGCUCAGUAACCACGUCCGUCUGCGAACGUCCUGUUUGAAGCAUCACAAUGGGCAAGGUACUGUUGAUCCGGUGUUAGGCGUCAUUUUGGUCUCAUGAUGUCAAAAUGUGAACAGCGUGAUGAGGACAAGUUUUAGGACAUUCAUUGGAGGAUUCAAGGAUCAAACGCCUGUUGUGAAUUUUGCCGUGAAGCUCCUCGUUAAGCAAUUUGUGCAAAAAGAACCAAAACAUUUAACAGUUGGACAUGUGCUUUUCAAAAGCUUCGAGAAGGUCACAUUAAGUUCAUCUGAAAAGGUUUGAAUGCAUUUUAGGCUUGUCCUGAAAUGUCACCUGAAAGCCAAAUAUCCCUAACUUGUGAGUAGUGUACUUAGUGUUUGAAAGUGUAUUUGUUGAAAGACCCUCAAAAAUGAAGUGCCGUGAAUGCCAUAAAAAUAUGGCUUGUGAAUAUUUAGAUCUGGCAUUUCUAUUUGGCGGAUUUCACCUAUUGCCGGGAUGACCUGGAACGUAACCUUGUGAUGGAAGGCGGGGUUUACUGCAGCAAAACAUGAAAUAUAGUCCAAAUUUGGUACAUUUAAAUAAAACCAAUAAACUCGUUCCAAUGCUACAAGCCUUAAAAGGAAUGCUGGGUUACUGUUGGUUCAGUUGGUUGUUGCCUUUGUGUAUUGUACAAACACGCUAAAGGCAACUUUUUGAACCAGUGUUUCCAGACUUCUCUUGCGGUAAAAAAGAAUGCGUUCUUUGUUGGACACCCUAAUGACUUUCAUUUGGUUCCACUUAUUUGAAUGGUGAUUUGUUAUCUAAGCACUGAAAACUAUCUGCUCCACUGGCAGAUGCCAUUAA